RNAcentral lists this long non-coding RNA (1465 nucleotides) under Scleropages formosus (Asian bonytongue). RNAcentral describes it as "lncRNA (ENSSFOG00015032043.1)". Lineage: Eukaryota; Metazoa; Chordata; Actinopteri; Osteoglossiformes; Osteoglossidae. The record is from RNAcentral.
AUGAUCCGAUGCUCUGUUCGGAAUACUGACUGUAGGACGGUCCCAGGGGCCGAACGUGGACGGCGAGCGAGGAUGGGCAAGACUGGACCGAGAGGAUGCCCUGUCGGUCGGGGGGGGGGGGGCAGGAACGAACCCAAACACGGGACAGGAGCUUGUCCGAAGCCAAAUGUGGAAAAUUCCAGAACCCGAGCAGGUCCUCAGCCGGAAGACAAAGCAGGAGGCUCAGGAAGGACAAUCCUGAGGACUCAGGGAGGACAGUCCAGGCGGCAAGACAGGGACCGUCUGAGAGGACAGUUCCGGGGGCCAGAGCUCUGCGAACGUGGGAGGAAGUCCAGGCUCCUUUCGGAAAGUGGACCCAACACUCCAGCACCUGUGCCGCAGGCGUGGAGUCCAUUCUCACCGGACCCUGAGACCCACCUUUGGGAAACAUUGGAACAGGCCAAUGGCGGUAUCGACGUCCUUUGAGGAGACUCUGACAUGAUGCAAGCGCAGCGGCACGUCCCGCAGGCAGCCUCUGCAACUGGCGGGAUGAAAGAGAUGAGCGCGUCCUCCUACACCCCCUUCCCGCUUCCCGCUCGGCUCGGCUCGGCUCGGCACGCAACCCGCCUGCAACGCGACCGCAGACACAAAUCAAAGGAGACCAGAGAGGAGCGCGGCGUCACGAAGCCAAGGAGGAAAGGCGUCUUUGCUGUCAACAAGGGGCCCUUCUGCGAGACGCCCCCCCUGGGGAGACACAGGCAGAGAGGAGAGAGUAGAGAGUGAGGUGAUCAGUUCUUUUUCUUCUUCUUCUUCUUCUUAUUAUUAUUAUUUUUUGGGUUCUAUGGCAGCACCUGUAAUCACAGCUGUUGAUGAUGCUGUAUGAGAAGUGCGCUGUGUGACGAUGAUUGGUGAUGAUGCUGUAUGAUGAGUAUUCUGUAUUAUGAUGAUGCUCAAUGAUGAUGUUUAGUCUUCGGUCUUGUUCUGUUUCAUCCCCUAGCAGCACUGAGCUGUCGGCCGUGACCCCACACCACACCGGUGUUUUCUAUCGCUGGGACACCGUUAAAAAUGAACACAGUGUUACUGCAGUAACCACUGACAAGCGAACCCAAAUCAUAGCGACACUCAUUUACAUACACCAUGCUUUACUGUGCUUCGCCGUGGUCGGAGCAUCACAGAGGGGGGUGACGUGAAAAAUACCCAGAACCACCGAUGACAGUAAAACAGUGUUAAUGCCGCCGUUGGGCAUCGGCGCGUUUCCUCUCUGUCCCGCAGCAGUGCAUUGUGGGAUUGCGGUGUAUGUGAUCUCUAGGACGGAUCUGCGUCAGCCCCCCCCGACUCCACUGUUCUCUGGAACAAUGAGGAAUUGAUGGUGGUGAGAAACGGCUCUUUGUCCGAUAGCAUCGCCUAGCGACGCCCCUCUGUGUCCCGCUCUCGAACCGGCGGCCGGAAUUCCACCUUCAAAGAGCAGCAGGAAGCGUGUGGCCCC